Molecule: long non-coding RNA, 5152 nt
Filed under: Homo sapiens (human)
Lineage: Eukaryota; Metazoa; Chordata; Mammalia; Primates; Hominidae
Description: long independently transcribed non-coding RNA 2820, transcript variant 1 (LINC02820)
Source: RNAcentral
GCCCCUCCCCCAGCCUGUCUUCCGCCUUGCAGUUUGAUCUCAGACUGCUGUGCUAGCAAUCAGCGAGACUCCGUGGGCGUAGGACCCUCCGAGCCAGGGAAAUGGAAUUGAAGACAACUACUUCUAGAAUUGGUGCAUGGAAGCUUCUCAUAGGUGAUUAGCCACACUCUUCUUCUGUCAACCUGGUGCAGAAAAGCUUGAAGACCUUGGAAAUCACAUAUUGAUGAUGGAGGAGAUACAAGAAUGAAGGACCCUGGGUUCCUGAAUCAACACUCUAAGAAGAGACUCCUUGAAAUCAAGAGCACUCAUUUUGACAUUGCAAACGGAAAAAUUCACUUCUAUCAGGUGUCAUUAGUUCCUUGCUAGAAUUUCUUUGGUGUCCUUUCUGCAUUUCAAACUCACAAAGGUUCUGUGAAAAGCAAUAUGUUCCCCAGUGGAGCUUAAAGUCUGGUGCAGAAAGCAGACAUUUAACAGGGGACUGAUCGGAGUCAAACCAUAUGCUGUGGCUUUUGCUCCAUGGAAAUCUCAACUAUACUGCAAGAAUAAUUAUUCCUACUUAAUGAAGUUACAGAAGAGAAUGUGGUGCUGGACGGUACUGACUGCAUGGGGAGAGGCCAUACCACAGAAACCUCAAUCUGCCUGAGCCGUGACUCUGAGAGCUGGAGUACCACUGGACAAGUGGGAACUGGAAGGGAAUUGAAGUAUCUGGGGCACCUGUUUCUCUGGUAAUGUAACAGCCUAUAAUUUCCACUGGGGCGAGAUCCUCAUCAAACCUCAGGGCAAAGCUAUUUUGCCUGCAGUUUCUGAGCCAUCGAUCAUGUCCUUAAAUAUGACUUGCUUCUAUGAGAUUGCUUUUGAGGAUGAUGAAAGGAGAGUUUAUUUAGAGGCACCUGUGCCUGCUAGGUGAUACUACCUAAUUUUGAGCUAAACAAACAAACAAACAAAAUACUCUGUAGAUAAAAUAUACAGCAUCUUUUUUUCUUGUUGGAUUCUUGAAAAGCCAGUAUUCCACAUUUGAGAGGUUUAAAAUCAGAGCUGACAAAUGCAGGAUUUUAAUUGAAGUAUUUUAUGUAAAUAGUAGUAUACACUUGUCCAGAUAUGGAAUGAGGUUCUGUUAGGAUAAUUUCAGUUCUUUAGGAACUGUUCAUCUUACAUCAUCAUUUUAGUUAGAAUAAAGACAUCCUUUAUGUGGUAUUCAUUGUAAGUAAAUUAGUAAUUUUUCUUUCAUAGUUUAUAUGUACUGUUGGUUGUAUUAUUCUGAAAAGCCUGUACUAAAAUUCAAGCUGCCAUUAUGUAUAUAUUUUUAAAUGAGAACUCUUGCAUUUCUUACUUGUGUAUAACGAAAUACCAAUGCCUGAAAAAUCUGCUGAAAAUCUCUGUUAAUACAGUACAAUUAAAUAUGGUUAUCAAGGAAAUAGGUGAACAUAAAUUUUAAAAAGUGCUUAUGCCCAGAGAAACAUGUUUCUUUUUUUCUACAAAAGUCUUUAAAGUAGCCCUGAGGAGACAAAUGACUGGACAUCAGUCUAUUAUCAUUUGGAGAAUGUGACAUAAGCUCCAGUUUUAUUUCCUUUAGAGUUGAAAAAUGAUCUGUAUUUUCCCUGAUCUCCUUCACAGUUUAUUCUCGUGUAAGUAUAAAGUAUAUAUUUUAAAAAUAUUGUUUAGCUUGCAUAUCUGGCCACUUGAUGACAUGAAUUAUAAAUCACAGUAUAAAAUAGUGUUUUUCCUGGCCAAUCAGAGAAAAAAAGAGACAAUGAAUGCCUUUAUUUCAUUUCAUUGGGGGCUGGUGAAAAUUAAAUGUAAUAAAGGCUACAGCUCUAAAUGGACAUGAUCAGAUACAAUUGCAUUGGAAAGUCAGAGGACAAUAUUAACAAAAAGCACUUUUUUAUUAGGGGAUUCCAUUCUUAAAUGCUAACACAUUUAAAAAUAAUAAACUGUGUUAAUACAUAAAUAUAUACUACCUAUAUCUUUUUAAAAAUGUUUUUAAAUUGUCAUGGCUUAUUGGGCACAGAGGGACACCUCUUGUGACAAUUAUAAAAUCUCCCAGUUGAAUAUGAAUUAUGUGUAAAGAGAAAGUAUGUUUUGCCUCUGUAUUUUAUACACAAUGGCAAAAAAAUAAGAACCCAUUAAUUUAGAAAAUAGACAAUGAGAUACUCUCUAAUUAAAUAGAAAGUUUCAGGAACUGGACCUUUGCUUCUCUCUUGCCCAUCCCAAACAUGUGGAUGAAUAAGCUCAGUGCAUUAGGGAUUGGAAUUUAGUCUAGGGUAAUUUAGAUCAUAGAAAGUAGGAAUAAGCAGUGGUACCUGAAACAUAUAACUCUAGGGAAAAAAUAUAUAUAGUGUAAAAAGUAGUCUCCAUUUGGAGAGAUUAUGACUUGAUUUAUGUAUUUUGCUAGGAUUGAAUUUUACUAAAUUACAGUUUUCAAUUUUUCUGUAUUAAUAGAGAUACCUCAUUAGGCAAUUUGGUGUGCCUAACAUGUACUAUGACUAAUACUGUUAAUGCUUUCAAAAUUGGACAUAAACACUAGGAGAUAGUCAUCUAAAUUGACUUAAUCAUAAUUUAAUUACUGUAUACUAAGGCACACCCAUUACAAAAUUCAGACCCAUACUGGCCAAAUAAUGGAUUACAAAUAACAGUGUGAUCAUGCAAGACUGAAUAAUAAACUCACUUAUAGAUGACUGAGAAAAGAUUUUAGGAAAAAUUCAUAGGAUAGUUGUAAUGAAGAAGAAAACUCCACUUUUUAAAUUUAGAAUCUCAAUUUUCCAGUCUCCUAUUUUUCUAGUUUGAUGAUUGAUGAGGAACCAAUUACACUUUUGGCUUCCAGAAUAUAAAUAGAAACUUAUGACAACAUAUCCUAACUCUUGCAGCUUCAACAAUUGGAUACUCAAUUUCUUUUUUCUAUGAUAAUAAAAUUAACAGAAAGAGACCAAAACAUUUUUAACCAUUAAUACUUUAUUGCAAUAAGCACAAUUUCUGACGGGAGGUGCUCAUAUGCCAUGGAGAAAAUUCAUUCCCAGUUUUUCCAGAUCACAAUCAAUCUUUCUUGUGACAGUAAAAGGUUUGACCUUCUUAGAAAGUUGUGGGAUAAGAGGAGUCUAUUGUUAGGACACAGGUUUAAAUAUAUUCAAGUCCGGACUGUUCUACCAAAAAUAUUUUUUAUGUGAGUGCAGUAAGAAACUGUUUCAGAUUAAGCUCACACUUUCAAUUUGGCUCCAUAAAUGUGUAUAGAGCAUAUAGUGUUUCUAAAGCACAAUACUGGGGAUUAAAGUCAGUUCCAGGCAUCAGCCGAUACGACGCUUGAACCAACCAUGAUCCUUCAGAGUCCUCUUUAAAACAAAGCUUACUGUAUGAAGAUUAUAAUCCAUGGAUGCUUAAGCAAAAAGGGGAUGAAAAAAAGCAAGUAAAGUCAAGGACAUUGCUCCAAUGCUUCACAUUGCUCUCUGCACACAAUCUAAAUUUUUUACCUUGAAGUACAACUUACUCCAGGGCUUGGUUCCCCAACUUACUCCAGAGCUUGGUUCCCCAUGUGGGGCCAACCCACAUGUCUGCCCUCCUGUUUAUUAUUUUUCCUUACUAUUGCCUUUCCUAAAACCUCUAGAUUAAUCAUAUUCUUUCAUUACGUGGUUCAUUCAAUAUCACUCUUUCGCUGUAAAAACCUUCCUUCAUUUUAAGAUCUGGAUGAGGUAAUAAGUCCUUGGAAACCUCUUGUUUCCUCAGGGAAAGUUGCCCCAUUCUCUGCAUUUCUAGAGUUUAUUGCUUAUAGCACUGUAACUGUGUUUAUCAUAUUAUGUUGUAACUUAAAAUAUGCAAGUUUGUCUCUUGAGAGCAAGAACCUUGUAUUAUUAAUCUUCACAUAUUCAGUAUUAAGAAUAUCAAGCAUAUACUAUUCAAAAAAUGUUAAAUGUUCAUGGAGGAUAAGAUUUUUUUUUCUGGAGGGAAUCUCAUGAGCUAGUAAAAAAAACAAGCAUAAAAGAAAUAAACAGAAAAGACUACAACACAAGAGUAAGAGCUAACUUUCAUUAUGUCCUUACUCUAUGCUAAUUACUGUACUAAAAUAUGUUCAUGAAUUAUAUUGAAACUUCAUGCCGAUUUUAGAAAGUAGGUAUUAUCACUAUAUCCAUUUUAUAUAUUGCACUGUGCUUUCACAUGACAUUGACAUUUCUUUGUUGUUUCUCUAAUCCACGUUAGACUGUAAAGUCUUUGACUACAUGGACUGUAUCUGGCACUGCUUCAUCCUCAGAAUCUUAUAUGGUGCCUAACACCUAAUCAAUAAUCAAAAUACUGGUUGAUAACAUUUGUUAAGGCAUUCAUGCAUGAAUCAAAGGAUUCCUUUUACCCAGUGUUUUAAAGAUUAUGACAGCACAUGCUUAUGUAAUGCUUAUGUUGUGCCAGAUGCUGUUCUAAGUGCUUUACAAAUAUUAGCUUACCAAACCCUCACCACACCUUGGGAGCCAGCUUUUGUCCCGGUAAACUGAGUAAUAUUUUACAGAUGAACAAACUGAAGCACAUAUAGGUAAAGCAAUUUGGCUAAGGCCAUAUAGCUAAUUAUGUAUUGUGGAUAAGGCUCUUAAAGUUGAACUGAGAUAAAACCUAGACAAUGAAAUCAGCCAUGCAAAAUCUACUAAAAUGACAAUUUAGAGAUUGUAAAUAGUUUUAAGUGGUUUAAUGAUCAUUUUUCAUCUUUCUUAUCUGGUGAACCCUUAGCUUAUUUUGACAAAUUUUCUUUAUUUUCUCUUAUCGCUAACCUGUGCUGUAAGCUUAGCUCUCCAUUGUUGAUACAAAGAACAUGCUCUCUACAUAUUGCCCGGGAUUUAUCUCUGAAAUUUCUCCUUAAGAAAUAGAAUUUUUGUUACAAUAACCUAGAAUGUACUGUCUGUCUGUCAAUUGCCUUUCUAAUUUCUGUUCCUAAUUAGCAUUGAAUAAGUUUGUGUGUACUGGAAAUAGCCAGAAAUAAGAUCUUUCAAAUGUAGAUAUGGCUCCUAUGAUAAUUGGGCUAUUGAAUUUUGCAUAUCUCUUCACUUCUAAGUAGGCAGAAAAAUCUUUCAUGCAUAUUUACCACAUUGUUCAAAAUUUCUUUCUCCAACAACUUCUUUUUCUUAAUUUGUUCCAAAAGUGUCUCUUGUUUUUCAAAUAAAUUUAUUUAAUAUAGAUAAAA